This 177-nucleotide non-coding RNA is filed under the name Shewanella sp. Its description in RNAcentral is "Lysine sequence". It matches the Rfam family "Lysine riboswitch aptamer". From Rfam's summary of the family: Riboswitches are metabolite binding domains within certain messenger RNAs that serve as precision sensors for their corresponding targets. Lineage: Bacteria; Pseudomonadati; Pseudomonadota; Gammaproteobacteria; Alteromonadales; Shewanellaceae. RNAcentral also lists the same sequence under 1 other name. The record is from RNAcentral.
AGAAACAGAAGAGGAGCGUUAGCUAGGUAGUAAGUGCGAGGAAAACCAAUUCCUAAAACCACUUAUGAGGGAGAUUAGCGCCGAGGUAUGUCAAAUGGUUGGUUUCAUUUCAUAUCGGUCGAUUAGGCUGAAUCCUAACGAUUGUCACCUAUUCAUUGGUGGAGAGCUUCUGGUGAA